CUGGCGGAUGCUUUACACAUGCAAGUCGAACGGCAGCACGGACUUCGGUCUGGAGGUUAUGGGCGAACGGGUGAGUAAUGUAUCGGAACGCCUAGUAGCGGGGAUAACUACUGCGAAAGCGUGGUAGCUAAUACCGCAUACGCCCUCGGGGGGAAAGCGGGGACUUUCGGCCUUCGCACUAUUAGAGCGGCCGAGUAUCGGAUUAGCUAGUUGGUGGGGUAACGGUCACCGGCUGGCGUAAUGAUCCGUAGCUGGUUUGAGGAGGACGAUCAGCCACACUGGGACUGGGACACGGCCCAGACUCCUACGGGAGGCAGCAGUGGGGAAUUUUGGACAAUGGGGAAACCCCGAUCCAGCGCCUCAUCCCCGGCGUGUGCGAUGAAGGCCUCGGGUUGUAAAGCACUUUUUGGCAGGAGUAAAGAAACGGCACGGGAUAAUACCCCGUGCAACUGACGGUACCUGCAGAAUAAGCACCGGCUAACUACGUGCCAGCAGCCGCGGUGGACACGGUGGGUAAAGCGGAAAGACCUGAAUUACUGCGCAGCGUGCGCAGGCGGUUCGGAAAGAAAGAUGUGAAUCCAGAGCUUAACUUUGAACCAUUUUUAACUACCGAGCUAGAGUGUGUCAGAGGAGGUGGAAUUCCGCGUGUGGGCAGUGAAAUGUAGAUAUGCGGAGGAACACCGAUGCGAAGGGCAGCCUCCUGGGAUAAUGGUACUGACGCUCAUGCACGAAAGCGUGGGGAGCAAACAGGAUUAGAUACCCUGGUAGUCCACGCCCAAACGAUGUCAACUAGCUGUUGGGGCUUCGGCUCGGUAGCGCAGCUAACGCGUGAAGUUGACCGCCUGGGGAGUACGGUCGCAAGAUUAAAAACUCAAAGGAAUUGAUUUGGGACCUGCACAAGCGGUGGAUGAUGUGGAUUAAUCUGAUGCAACGCGAAAAACCUUACCUACCCUCGACAUGUCUGGAAUCCCGAAGAGAUUUGGGAGUGCUCGCAAGAGAACCGGAACACAGGUGCUGCAUGGCUGUCGUCAGCUCUCGUGUCGUGAGAUGUUGGGUUAAGUCCCAACGAGCGCAACCCUUGUCAUUAGCUGCUACGAAAGGGCACCUAACGAGACUGCCGGUGACAAACCGGAGGAAGGUGGGGAUGACGUCAAGUCCUCAUGGCCCUUAUGGGUAGGGGCUUCACACGUCAUACAAUGGUCGGGACAGGGUCGCCAACCCGCGAGGGGGAGCCAAUCCCAGAAACCCGAUCGUAGUCCGGAUCGCAGUCUGCAACUCGACUGGGUGAAGUCGGAAUCGCUAGUAAUCGCGGAUCAGCAUGUCGCGGUGAAUACGUUCCCGGGUCUUGUACACACCGCCCGUCACACCAUGGGAGUGGGUUUUACCAGAAGUAGUUAGCCUAACCGUAAGGAGGGCGAUUACCAGCGGUAGAUUCAUGACUGGGGUAAGUCGUAACAAGGUAG
RNAcentral lists this ribosomal RNA (1463 nucleotides) under uncultured Bordetella sp. RNAcentral's name for it is "partial 16S-23S ribosomal RNA intergenic spacer". It matches the Rfam family "Bacterial small subunit ribosomal RNA". Lineage: Bacteria; Pseudomonadati; Pseudomonadota; Betaproteobacteria; Burkholderiales; Alcaligenaceae. The record is from RNAcentral.